UACGGGGGGGGCAAGCGUUGUUCGGAAUUACUGGGCGUAAAGGGCGCGUAGGCGGCCUGCUAAGUCGGAUGUGAAAUCCCUCGGCUCAACCGAGGAACUGCAUCCGAUACUGGCGGGCUUGAAUCCGGGAGAGGGAUGUGGAAUUCCAGGUGUAGCGGUGAAAUGCGUAGAUAUCUGGAGGAACACCGGUGGCGAAGGCGGCAUCCUGGACCGGUAUUGACGCCGAGGCGCGAAAGCUAGGGGAGCAAACGGG
RNAcentral lists this ribosomal RNA (253 nucleotides) under uncultured bacterium. RNAcentral describes it as "partial 16S ribosomal RNA". It matches the Rfam family "Bacterial small subunit ribosomal RNA", at positions 524 to 776 of the family's 1533-position model. The record is from RNAcentral.